UAGAAAUACUUAGUGGCGGACGGGUGAGUAACGCGUGAGAAUCUACCUUCAGGACGGAGACAACAGUUGGAAACGACUGCUAACCCCCGAUGUACCGAAAGGGCAAAUAUUUAUAGCCUGAAGAAGGGCUCGCGUCCGAUUAGCUAGUUGGAGAGGUAAAAGCUCACCAAGGCGACGAUCGGUAGCUGGUCUGAGAGGACGAUCAGCCACACUGGGACUGAGACACGGCCCAG
This 233-nucleotide ribosomal RNA is filed under the name uncultured bacterium. Its description in RNAcentral is "partial 16S ribosomal RNA". It matches the Rfam family "Bacterial small subunit ribosomal RNA", at positions 83 to 334 of the family's 1533-position model. The record is from RNAcentral.